Molecule: long non-coding RNA, 2673 nt
Filed under: Vitis vinifera (wine grape)
Lineage: Eukaryota; Viridiplantae; Streptophyta; Magnoliopsida; Vitales; Vitaceae
Description: long non-coding RNA (VVIN_LNC004876)
Source: RNAcentral
UUAAUUUAUUUUUUAUCUCUACUAAAACCAAAAAUUAAAAAUGCCACCCACUUCUCUCCCUCUCUCGGGCAUCAAGAAGCCCUUUUCUGAAGUUGCCCUCCAUCGGGCAUCAAGAAGCCCUUUUCUGAAGUUGCCCUCCAGCUGAGAGAAUCCCUAAAAGGCCCUAUUUUCCUCUGCGACUCUCAAUCCUCGCAGGUACUAAUCUAAUCAUGUUAUUAUUAUUAUUAUUUUUUUUGCAACCCCCGUUUGAUUCCCAAGAAAAUCCAUCCCCCAUUCGAUUUCCGGGAAAAUUCAUCCUCGUUUGAUUUCCGAGAAAAUCCAAGCAAAAACCCCAAGGAAAACAAAAAAAAAAUGGAUUUUCUUGCUCCCUGUGUUUUCUGGAUCCGUUUUAGGGGUCUCUUUGCUAUUGUGCCAUUGGAUUUAAAUUUCACAACCUUGAAUCAAGACUGAGAUUGUGCUGGAGAAGAGAUGAGAACGGGAAGAAAAAAAAAACACGGAGAACAGAUGGUUUUUUUUUGUUUAAUUUUGUUCUGUAAACAGUAAAAAAACGGGGAAAACAACAUUUUGUUGUUCUCUAAACAGUGCCAUUUUGAGAACACGGGAAACAAUAAAAACAAAAACAACCCUCUCAACCAAACGAGUUUUUUGUGUUUUUUGUUUUCAAGAACAGAAAACAGUUCUUGAAAACACUAAACAAACAGGCCCUUACUCUUUUUUUUUUUUCUUUUGUUUUAAUUUUUUUUUUCUUUUUCUUUUUCAUUUUUCUUUUAAUCAUAUGAGAAUGAGCUCAACAAUUUUUUAAUCCCUAUCUUAUAUCGAUCCCCUUAGGAUAAAAAAUUUAUGAAAGUUAUUUUUUCAAAUAUGGGUUUGAUUUUAUCUUUUUUAAUCAAAUAUUUUGAAAUUUUUAAUCAAGAUAGUACCUUUUGUUUUAAGAGAUUUUAUCAAGAUUAAAAGGGUGUUUGUUUUUUAAAAUUUUUUCUGAAAGUAAUUUGUUUUCAGAAUUUAAGUUAUUUGUUUUUAUUUUUAUUUUUUUAUAACUUAUUAUAAACUUAACAUAUUGAUUUUUCUUUACUUUUUAAUACUUUAUAUAAAUAAAAUAUUAUAAAAACAAACAACCUAAUACUUAAAACUAUUAAAUAUUAAAGUUCUAUUUAGAAUUAAGUAAAAAAUCAAACAUCACCUAAGUCUUUUUUAAAUGUAACUAGAAUAAGUAAUUAAUCAAAAUUUCUUUCACGGUAUCAUCAUAAAAACACUUUUAAUUUAAUUUAUAAUAUUUCACUUUUGGCAAUUCACUUUUAUAGGAAGGACUAAUUUCUAUUGCUUAAAAAGUAAUUAAGUAAUAACAAGGUGAUUUUUAAAAUUGAUUUUUUUCGGGUUUUACCAAAACACUUAAUUUUUUUUUUAUAGAAUUUCCUUUCAAAUAUUAGAAAACAUCUCUAAGGAAUUACUCCCAAAUAGACUCUUAGACUAUGUUUGAUUCCUGAAAUUUUGAGAGAAAUGUGAAGGAAAGAAAAUAGUGAGGAAAAAUAAAAAAUAAAAUGUUAAGAAAAAAAAAUCAAAAUCAAUAAAUUAUUGUUAUAUAUUUCUUCAAACUCAUUUAACUUAUUUUCCUUUAUUAUAUAAGGAUUGAAUAAUUAUAAAAUGUAUACAUUUUUAGUUAAUUUUAAUUUUAUUUUCUUUCAUAUUUUUCAUAAUAAAAUUAAUCAUGAGAAAAACCAUUUUUCUUAAUAUUUUUUUCUUUACUUAGGUGAUGUUUGUUUUUCUAUUUUUUCAUGAUUUAUUAUAAACUUUUUAUUAAAUAAAAAAACUAAAAUAUGUAACUUUUUCUAACUAGAAAAAAUAACAUAUUAGUUUUUUUUUUCACUUUUUAAUACUUAAUAGAAAUAAAAUACUACAAAAGCAAACAACCUAAUAUUUAAUACUAUUAAACAUUAAAGUUCUAUUUAGAAUUAAGUAAAAAAACAAACGCCGCCUUAAUAGUUUCUCAAAACCAAACAUAGCCUUACUGGUACAUUUCUUGCAAUGUCACACCAUAAAAGAGUUCCUAUCACACGAGCCUAGGUGACAAAUUCCUAUUAACAACAGCCCAGAAACUGAAAUAUUGAGUUUGGGUUGCCCUGAUGUUGGUCCACCACAUCCAUGUUGUAUACAAGUGGGCUUAGUGUUUCCACAGCUCAAAUUUGGGCUGAGAAAACACUGAAAAUGACAAGCUUUCUGAAUCUUAUUACUCAUCAUUUGCAAAAUUUCAAGCCUAAGUAUUGAUCUCCCAUGCCUUUUUGAAUCAUAUUUCCAGAUGGGUCCAAUACCAGAUUCCUUAUCAGGGCAAGAAAAUGAAAAUCCUGGAAUCUAGUUCUAUUGCUUUUUUCAGACUCUGCAAACAGCUUGAGUACAGUACUACAGCAUGUUUAUUUAUUCAGUAGUUCCAAAUUCAGCUUACUUCACACACAUCACUUUGAUUUUCUGGUACCCAUACAUGUUUCAAAUUCCUCAUUGCAUUAUGGAGGAGAAUACCAACCCCAUUGCUUAUCAGAGGUGUACUGUGUGACUUGCUUUACAGUCAAGUAGUUUUCAAGGCCCCUGCAAAUCAAGUAUUAUCGGUAAGUAACCAUUGAUAAUAUACUGAUUCUAGUGUGAAGCAUAGACAUAACUGCAAACUUGGAAAUUGUCAUACCA